RNAcentral lists this ribosomal RNA (501 nucleotides) under uncultured bacterium. RNAcentral's name for it is "bacterial SSU rRNA". It matches the Rfam family "Bacterial small subunit ribosomal RNA", at positions 16 to 507 of the family's 1533-position model. The record is from RNAcentral.
AUCGAUGGCUCAGGAUGAACGCUAGCGGCAGGCUUAAUACAUGCAAGUCGUGGGGCAGCAGGUUUGUAGCAAUACAGAUGCUGGCGACCGGCAAACGGGUGCGGAACACGUACAGAACCUUCCUUUGAGCGGGGAAUAGCCCAGAGAAAUUUGGAUUAAUACCCCAUAGUAUAAUGAAGUGGCAUCACUUUAUUAUUAAAGAUUUAUCACUCGAAGAUGGCUGUGCGGCUGAUUAGGUAGUUGGCGGGGUAAAUGCCCACCAAGCCUGCGAUCAGUAACUGGUGUGAGAGCACGACCAGUCACACGGGCACUGAGACACGGGCCCGACUCCUACGGGAGGCAGCAGUAAGGAAUAUUGGUCAAUGGAGGCAACUCUGAACCAGCCAUGCCGCGUGGAGGAUGAAGGUCCUCUGGAUUGUAAACUUCUUUUAUAUGGGACGAAAAAAGGCUUUUCUAAGUCGUCUGACGGUACCAUAUGAAUAAGCACCGGCUAACUCCGUG